RNAcentral lists this long non-coding RNA (5780 nucleotides) under Brassica napus (rape). RNAcentral's name for it is "long non-coding RNA (BNAP_LNC020072)". Lineage: Eukaryota; Viridiplantae; Streptophyta; Magnoliopsida; Brassicales; Brassicaceae. The record is from RNAcentral.
AGAAAAGGAGUCUGAUGCUUAAGAAAGUUGAACGAAUAUAUAAUGAUAUUGGAGUCGGACAUUUGCUGUGUUUCUUUCUGUGAUGAUUUCUCCUUUAUGUUUUAAGCUGUUCUGUAAGAUUGUGUCUUUCGUUGGUUGCAUUAGCACCUUUCUAUUGUAAUUUGCAUUGUCAAUUUUAUAAAGUUCGCAUAUGGGUUCUAAGUAAUGUUUCGAGUAAAUGUGUCUAUUCGUUUGCUAUCUCCAUAGAACUCCUAGUAUAUUUGGGUAUUACAGUGUCAUACUCCUAGUCUCCUAUCCACAUGAUAUAAUCGUAUUAGCAAUAGUUUCAAAUGAUGAUAUCCAUAAGAGUGGAAAAAAAUGUAAAAAACAAAUACUUAAUUCUAAGACCUUUCAGCAUGUCCCAUCUGGCUUCUUGAGAUUUUGCCCCACAAAAAAUUCUCAUAAAUUAUUUUUCAAGAUGAAUCACUGUCAAAGACUCAAAACUGAUUAGGAACAAAGAGUAAUACCGACAUAAUUUUGAAAGAAACUAUGAUAAAAUAAAUAAGACAAAGAGUGUAGCAAUCAGACAUCAGCGUUUUAAUGAAUGUUUCAUAAUUAUAUUUAUAUUUGUUUGAAAAUAUUAUAGCCAUUUGUUCCACUAUGAACUCCAGUCGUAUCAACUUGUUCCUAUAUUUAAAAGAAAAAAUUCUAUGGUGUCUUUGAUGGUUAUUUCAACAACAAAAAUCAAAGAAGUUGUAGUCUUGUAGAUAUCAACGGAGAGUAGGUAUAUUACAAACGUGCUGCGUUCAACAUAUUUCUCCAAUCCAGCUUUAGUGAAUUAAAUCUGAGGGGGGUUUGUCUGGCAUCUUGAAACCUUCCAACUCGAUCAGAGGCUAACAGUUGAGAAAAGGACUAAAAUCUUAUUGGGCCUGUUGGGAUUCAAAAGCCUAAAUCUUUAGAAAACCCUUUCUCUCUCUCUUCGAUUAGCCCCCCCCCAAGGACUUAGGGAGUGGAUGCAAUCCCAUGGAUGCAUAUUUGUGGAUGUCACACCUAUGGAAGGAACUAAGUGGAAGCAACGAUCAAUUGACCUUGAAGAUAUCAUGGAGCUAGACACACAGGAACACUUUGGACGAGCUGGACGAAGUGACACUUACUUGGGCUAGCUGGUCGAGCUGAAUCAAAGUGACACUUACAUAUCUGAGCUGGAUGAGCUGAGUGAGCUGAGUGAGCUAAGUGACACUAGCUUUGAGCUAAAUGAGCUACGUGACACUGAAGAUGAAGCUGGUUUAGUUGCUGGGCGAAAUGGGUCUUUUUCAGCCCAAAGAAAAAUUCAUAACAAAUUCAAUUUGGGUCGGUUUUACACCAAAUUCGACCAGGCCUUUGGUGAUGGUCUCCUGCCCAUUUUCAUCAAGAAAUAUCAACAAAAGAAGUCACAGACGUGGUCAGACAAAGGGUUAUUCAACAACACACUUAUUUCUGGUCAAAAGUCUUAGUCUUUGUUUUUGUUUUCUAAGUUUUUAGUUUUCUACAAAAACUCUUAGUCUUUCUUUGACCACAAGUACUAUAAAUAUGUAAUCUCUUUCAUGAAAUAAGACAGAUUUUUUUUUUUCCAUUUUUUCUGAGUUUAUCUCCUUUGUUCUUUGUAAAACAUUUUUCGUUUUUUGCUGAGGUUAUCUCCAAGUAAAUUUUCUAUAUUUCGUUGGACUUGUGUGUCAUAUCAAGUAACGAUUAGAAACCUUUCCUUUUUUGGACUUGUGCUUCAUAUCAAGCAACAAUUGAAGUUUGGUAGUAUCAAUAGACUUUUCUCACCUUUUGUGUCACCACCAUUCGAUCUAUCAUUUCUCUCUUUUGGCGAGAUCAUAUCCCUCCAGUCCGUUUGAGUGAUCCUGUCCGAUUUAGUACGUAUCAACGUGGAUAUUUAAUUUUUAUUACGAAUAAUUGAGUUUGUCUAUCGCUGAUAGACAUAUUCUUAGAGAAUUAGUCAGUUGGGUUUCGCUUCGCUCGAUUUCCGUGGUUAUAAAAAUAUUCUAUGUUGUUGAACUUAGGUGGGGGUAUUGAAUUUAGAAAUUUUAUAGAAUUUGAAGGAAUUUUAGUUUGCAUUAAAUUCUAGUGUUAUUCAAUUGUGUAUUUUACCAAUUCUUUCAAAUUCUUGUGUUAUUCAAUUAUGUAUUUUAUCAAUUCAUUUAAAUUCUAAUGUUAUUCAAUAUUUGGUAGAAUUAAUAGGAAUGUUAUUUGAAAAGAAUUUAAUGGAAAUGUUAUGUAAAAAUGCAAAGGAUCAAUUCCUUGCUUUUACGAUGGGAUUUGUCUCUCUCUUAUUUUCAAAGAACGGAGACUAUCAAUAUUGAUGAAAUUGUUCAUCAUCAAGCAACAUCUUUGGCAUGCAACCGUGCUUGCAUUAAUCUUGUCAACCAAACCGUAUGUUCGUGAACACUUGGCAUGUUCGUGAACGUGUUUUCACAUUUCUCAUUUUUGUCAUCAAGAAUAGUACGUAACAUUUUUUUAAAAAAUAUUUUGUUUGAUUCUCUCCUAUAAAUUCCAAUCAAGCACAAUCAUAAAACAACUAUAAACUAGCUCUUAUCUAUCUUUUGUAUAAACUUUUUUAGAUUACUUCUCCUAUAUAUAUUACAUAUCUAUCACUUCUCAAAGCAAAAAAAAAAAAUCUAUCUACAAAAGGUAAAAUUUUCCCAAAAGUUUUUUUUUGGUAAAAAAAAUUCCCAAGAGUUUAGCUACUAAUUUUGUAUUUUGUUGUUAUCAUUAGUUCAUAGCGUUAAUGUAUUAUCACUUGUAAUCCAUCAAAUUUAUUUACAUUCUUUUAAAUUCUAUGAUAAAAAGUAAACAUAACAAUUAGGCAAUUGCAUUAAAAUCUUAUAAAAUCUUUUAAAAUACUACAAAAGCUAUUACUUGUGAAUUCUUUCAAAUUCCCGAAUCCAAUACCACCCCCUUUGCUUCUGCGACGUGGCUUACGAAUCUAGUGGCCCCACAUUACCGACAUUCAUGCAGUAAGCCUAUCAAAACCGACGUUAAGUUCUGGUGCUGACCCUUUAACGGUCUUCAGCCAUGUGUCUACCAUGAGUUGGCUUAAUCUAUUUAUUUAUGCAUUGAUUUUACUUGCAAUUAGUCAUCCCAUUUACUACGGUUUUAGGCUUUUUUUCUCAUGAAUUAUUUACUGAGACGCGUCGUGAUAGUAAUGGCUAUAUAAAGUUGCUCUAGUUCGGUUAUAUUUACAGAGGUAACGUGAAAAGGCCUUAAUAUAAUUGGAAACAAACUUUAAUCUUUUGUCUACGAAAUAAUAAUAAUCUUGUCUACGAAUCUGAUUUCUGGGAUGGACAUUUUAUCCGUUAAAUUUGAUUCGAUUCGUUAUUCGUUUCGAUUCGAUCAGAAAUUUCCGGAUAUCCAUAAACUUUCGAAACAAAGCAAAUAUUAAAAAUCAAUAUCCGUUAAAAUUGAAGCACAUCACAAAUAUUAAAAAUUUUGGAAACGGAUAUCCGAUCCGAUCUGUCAAUAUAUAAAUACAUGUAUAUCUUGAUUAUAUUUAAAGUUUUUAAUGUAUAAAAUUAUAUAAUUAUUAUUCUAACAUAUGAUUUGAUAAAGUCUAUUCACAUUAUUACUUAUAUAAAAAUAUUACAUAAAAGGAAUAGAACACAUUUAUGAUAAUUAUAAUUUUUUUUUAAGUUUUGUGUUAUUAUAAUUGUUAACUAAGUUCAAAAAAUUACAAAAUAUGUAGAUUCACUACUGCUUUUAAUUUUUUUUAUCAUAUAUAUCACGCAAAAAAAAUAUUUUACAAAACAAAUUUGUAUCAAAAUUUUAAGAUUAUUUGUAUUAAUCAAAACAUAUGAGAUAUCCGUAAGUAUUCGUAAAUAUCCGCAAAUAUCUAUUUAUUUUUCGGAUAUCCGUUUUUUCGAAUAUCCGUAUUUUUCCGAAGCAAAGCAAAUAAAAAAAUUAGAUAUCUGUGACAUACGAAGCAAAUCACAAAUACUUUCAAAAAUCCGGAUAUCCGAUCCGUGCUCGUGCCUAAACAUUGGAAACUUGCAUCCAUCACAUCCUUAGUUCAGUUACAUGUAUCCAAACUUUAUAUUUUUUCGCAUACUAUCUUAAUGUAAGUAUAUUAUACAACAAGUAUGAAAAAGACAAGACAAAAGUUAUAAAAAUACUUAUCUUUCAAAAAAAAAAAGUUACAGAGAAACGAUCAAUGGUGUAAGAGUUAUAAUCAGAACUAUCUUUAGCUAUGUGUCUCUUUAUCUAGUUAGUUUAAUAAUAUGCAAUAAAAUAAAUUAAAAGGAUGUACUUCGACCACGUAUUAGUUUAAUAAUAUGCAAUAAAAUAAAUUAAAAGGAUGUACUUCGACCACGUAACUUAUAGGCCUAAACGUAACCAAUCUUCGCUUCCAUACAUAAAGUACACGAGUAUGCAAUAUUUAAUAUCUGGUUUAACUUUUCAUCUAUAUACAAUAACACAUCCUUUAAACUAAAAUAAAAAAUAAUAAUGGAUGAUUUUAUGACAUUUUAAUCUACCAACUUAAAGAAAAUAGUACCAUUCUGAAAUUUAAGAAAAAAAACAAUCCAUUUUUUGCUAUAUUAAAAAAUCAAUUAAAUCUAUACAGCGUAACCUCCGCGUUGGCCAGGACCCUCAAGCUCACACUAUAAAACCCACUCUCGUCUCUCAUCACAAUACUCAUCGCUGCUCUUUACUAUCACCUUAAAAGCAAAGUUAAAGCUCUCAUAGUCUCUGUUUAUCAUUUCUCGUUAACUGUUCAAUAUUGAUCAAGAGUAACUAACGAACCAUGGCCGAAGAGUACAAGAACGCUUCUGAGGAGUUCAAGAACGUCCCUGAACACGAGACCCCAAAGAUCACCACCACGGAGGAAUCAUCCGCGGUGACGGGAGAGGUUAAGGAUCGUGGCUUGUUCGAUUUCUUGGGGAAAAAGGAGGAAGUAAAACCUCAAGAGACGACCACGCCGCUAGAGUCAGAGGUCGAGCAUAAAGCUCAGAUCACGGAAGAGCCAGCGCUUGUGGCGAAGCACGAAGAAGAGGAGCAUAAGCCUACUCUCCUCGAGCAGCUUCACCAGAAGCACGAGGAGGAAGAGGAGAACAAGCCCAGUCUCUUCCAGAAGCUUCACCGAUCCAACAGCUCUUCUUCCUCUGUAAGGAACUAAUAUAGUCCGUACGGUUAUUUAUAUUUUAGCAUAUAGUUUUUUAGUUAAAUCUGUAAACAACUUCAUCUCAUUAAACCCCUUUUUUAAAUCUGUUAAAAUUUAAUUUCUAAAAGUCAAGCGAGGAAGAAGGUGAAGAUGGUCAAAAGAGGAAGAAGAAGAUCGUUGAAGGAGAAGAGAAGAAGGGAGUGAUGGAGAAGAUCAAGGAGAAGCUUCCAGGUCACAGCGAAAAACCAGAUGAUUCUCAAGUCGUCAACACUGAGGCUGCAGUACCAGUGUCGGAUGAAACGGCGGAGCAUGCGGAGGAGAAGAAAGGGAUUCUUGAAAAGAUCAAAGAGAAGCUUCCAGGUUAUCAUGCCAAGAGCUCUGAAGAGGAGGAGAAGAAAGAAAAGGAGUCUGAUGCUUAAGAAAGUUGAACGAAUAUAUAAUGAUAUUGGAGUCGGACAUUUGCUGUGUUUCUUUCUGUGAUGAUUUCUCCUUUAUGUUUUAAGCUGUUCUGUAAGAUUGUGUCUUUCGUUGGUUGCAUUAGCACCUUUCUAUUGUAAUUUGCAUUGUCAAUUUUAUAAAGUUCGCAUAUGGGUUCUAAGUAAUGUUUCGAGUAAAUGUGUCUAUUCGUUUGCUAUCUCCAUAGAACUCCUAGUAUAUUUGGGUA